ACAGCAGUCGCCGCGGGAAUACGUAGGUCCCGAGCGUUGUCCGGAUUUAUUGGGCGUAAAGCGAGCGCAGGCGGUUAGAUAAGUCUGAAGUUAAAGGCUGUGGCUUAACCAUAGUACGCUUUGGAAACUGUUUAACUUGAGUGCAAGAGGGGAGAGUGGAAUUCCAUGUGUAGCGGUGAAAUGCGUAGAUAUAUGGAGGAACACCGGUGGCGAAAGCGGCUCUCUGGCUUGUAACUGACGCUGAGGCUCGAAAGCGUGGGGAGCAAACAGGAUUAGAUACCCCUGUAGUCCCUGUCUCUUAUACA
RNAcentral lists this ribosomal RNA (305 nucleotides) under uncultured bacterium. Its description in RNAcentral is "partial 16S ribosomal RNA". It matches the Rfam family "Bacterial small subunit ribosomal RNA", at positions 508 to 808 of the family's 1533-position model. The record is from RNAcentral.